This 108-nucleotide microRNA precursor is filed under the name Podarcis lilfordi (Lilford's wall lizard). The record is from RNAcentral. Lineage: Eukaryota; Metazoa; Chordata; Lepidosauria; Squamata; Lacertidae.
UGUGUGUGUGUGUGUGUGUGUGUGUGUGUAUAUAUAUAUAUAUAUGUGUGUGUGUGUGUGUAUAUAUAUAUAUAUAUACACACACACACACACACACACACACACACA